RNAcentral lists this ribosomal RNA (253 nucleotides) under uncultured bacterium. RNAcentral's name for it is "partial 16S ribosomal RNA". It matches the Rfam family "Bacterial small subunit ribosomal RNA", at positions 524 to 776 of the family's 1533-position model. The record is from RNAcentral.
UACGAGGGGAGCAAGCGUUGUUCGGAUUUACUGGGCGUAAAGGGCGCGUAGGCGGCGCAACAAGUCACUUGUGAAAUCUCCGGGCUUAACCCGGAGCGGCCAAGUGAUACUGUCGUGCUAGAGUGCGGAAGGGGCUACUGGAAUUCUCGGUGUAGCGGUGAAAUGCGUAGAUAUCGAGAGGAACACCUGCGGCGAAGGCGGGUAGCUGGGCCGACACUGACGCUGAGGCGCGAAAGCAUGGGGAGCGAACAGG